RNAcentral lists this ribosomal RNA (301 nucleotides) under uncultured bacterium. RNAcentral describes it as "partial 16S ribosomal RNA". It matches the Rfam family "Bacterial small subunit ribosomal RNA", at positions 509 to 807 of the family's 1533-position model. The record is from RNAcentral.
CAGCAGCCACGGUAAUACGUAGGUGGCAAGCGUUGUCCGAAAUUAUUGGGCGUAAAGGGCUCGCAGGCGGUUUCUUAAGUCGGAUGUGAAAGCCCCCGGCUCAACCGGGGAGGGUCAUUGGAAACUGGGAAACUUGAGUGCAGAAGAGGAGAGUGGAAUUCCACGUGUAGCGGUGAAAUGCGUAGAGAUGUGGAGGAACACCAGUGGCGAAGGCGACUCUCUGGUCUGUAACUGACGCUGAGGAGCGAAAGCGUGGGGAGCGAACAGGAUUAGAUACCCCUGUAGUCCCUGUCUCUUAUAC